Molecule: ribosomal RNA, 460 nt
Filed under: uncultured bacterium
Lineage: Bacteria
Description: partial 16S ribosomal RNA
Rfam family: Bacterial small subunit ribosomal RNA
Source: RNAcentral
CCUACGGGAGGCAGCAGUGAGGAAUAUUGGUCAAUGGACGAGAGUCUGAACCCGCCAAGUAGCGUGAAGGAUGACUGCCCUAUGCGUUGUAAACUUCUUUUAUAUGGGAAUAAAAUGUUCCACGUGUGGGAUUUUGUAUGUACCUUAUGAAUAAGGAUCGGCUAACUCCGUGCCAGCAGCCGCGGUAAUACGGAGGAUCCGAGCGUUAUCCGGAUUUAUUGGGUUGAAAGGGUGCGUAGGUGGAGUGUUAAGUCAGUUGUGAAACUUUGCGGCUCAACCGUAAAAUUGCAGUUGAAACUGGCAGUCUUGAGUACAGUAGAGGUAGGCGGAAUUCGUGGUGUAGCGGUGAAAUGCUUAGAUAUCACGAAGAACUCCGAUUGCGAAGGCAGUUCACUGGACUGCAACUGACACUGAGGCUCGAAAGUGUGGGUAUCGAACAGGAUUAGAUACCCCUGUAGUC